This 1504-nucleotide ribosomal RNA is filed under the name uncultured bacterium. Its description in RNAcentral is "bacterial SSU rRNA". It matches the Rfam family "Bacterial small subunit ribosomal RNA". The record is from RNAcentral.
AACGAACGCUAGCGGGAUGCCUCAAACAUGCAAGUCGCACGCGAAUUAGUAGCAAUACUAUUGUAGAGUGGCGCACGGGUGAGUAACACGUAGCUAAUGUACCCUUUCGCUGGGGAUAACUCCGGGAAACCGGAGCUAAUACCGAAUAAUCUCAAGAGGUCUGCGGACCAUUUGGGUAAAGCCUUACGGCGCGAAGGGAUCAGGCUGCGGCCUAUUAGCUAGUUGGUAGGGUAACGGCCUACCAAGGCGACGAUAGGUAGCUGGUCUGAGAGGAUGAUCAGCCACACUGGAACUGAAACACGGUCCAGACUCCCACGGGAGGCAGCAGUUGGGAAUAUUGGACAAUGGGGGCAACCCUGAUCCAGCAAUCCCGCGUGAGGGACGAAGGCCUUCGGGUCGUAAACCUCUUUCAGUAGGGAAAAAGGGAAACUUGAUGGUACCUACAGAAGAAGCACCGGCUAACUCUGUGCCAGCAGCCGCGGUAAUACAGAGGGUGCAAGCGUUGUUCGGAAUUAUUGGGCGUAAAGCGCGUGUAGGCGGCGACCUAAGUCUGGUGUGAAAGCCCGGGGCUCAACCCCGGAAGUGCACUGGAUACUGGGUUGCUAGAGGGCUAGAGAGGACAGUGGAAUUCCUGGUGUAGGGGUGAAAUCCGUAGAUAUCAGGAGGAACAUCGGUGGCGAAGGCNGCUGUCUGGCUAGUUUCUGACGCUGCGGUGGCGAAGGCGGCUGUCUGGCUAGUUUCUGACGUUGAGACGCGAAAGCGUGGGGAGCAAACAGGAUUAGAUACCCUGGUAGUCCACGCCCUAAACGAUGGAUACUAGUUGUCGGCAUACCUAAUUGUGUCGGUAACGCAGCUAACGCAUUAAGUAUCCCGCCUGGGAAGUACGGUCGCAAGAUUAAAACUCAAAGGAAUUGACGGGGGCCCGCACAAGCGGUGGAGCAUGUGGUUCAAUUCGAUGCUACGCGAAGAACCUUACCUGGGCUUGACAUCCCGCGCUAUCCUGUGAAAGCAGGAGUUCCCGCAAGGGACGCGGUGACAGGUGCUGCAUGGCUGUCGUCAGCUCGUGUUGUGAGAUGUUGGGUUAAGUCCCGCAACGAGCGCAACCCUCGUCACUAGUUGCCAUCAUUUAGUUGGGCACUCUAGUGAGACCGCUUGGCUAUAAGCCAGAGGAAGGUGGGGAUGACGUCAAGUCCUCAUGGCCUUUAUGUCCAGGGCUACACACGUGCUACAAUGGAAGACACAAAACGUUGCAAGCCGGUGACGGCAAGCUAAUCGUAAAAAAUCUUCUUCAGUUCGGAUUGGAGUCUGCAACUCGACUCCAUGAAGCUGGAAUCGCUAGUAAUCGCGGAUCAGAACGCCGCGGUGAAUACGUUCCCGGGCCUUGUACACACCGCCCGUCACACCAUGGGAGUUGGUAAUACCUGAAGUGGCUGAGCGAACCCGCAAGGGACGCAGGCUCCUACGGUAAUGCUAAUGACUGGGGUGAAGUCGUAACAAGGUAACC